Molecule: long non-coding RNA, 772 nt
Organism: Strigops habroptila (Kakapo)
Lineage: Eukaryota; Metazoa; Chordata; Aves; Psittaciformes; Psittacidae
Exons: 3
Source: RefSeq, a predicted model, not a curated record
ACCAAUCACUGUAACCUUCAACUGAAGCAAUUUGUUCUGAUGAGAAAGUAUAUUUUCUUUUCAACUCUACUUUUACAUUUCAGCUGUAACUUUGUAGAAAUGAAGACAGAUGAAGAUAAUGAAGAAAUGUAGAUAAUGAAGGGUACCAUACUAAUAACAUGGUACUAAUUUACAGUAUAGUCACGUUUCUUCCUAUCUUCCACCCCCUCCUUUCUUUGUUUUCAUUUUUGCAUUUUGAAACAGCAUCUCACAGGGAUCACACCCAGGAACAACACUGCACGAGCUAAAGUAAUUGUUUCUGGAAGUUCUUCUUCAAGACAACAUCUGAGAAACAUGGAACAUUUACUCAAUGAUAAUCUUCUGAAGUAUUUUACCCAGUAUGCUUUAAUGGAGGGUAGCACCAGUGCACUGUCCAUUGCUGGGCUGAAAAAUCUACUUCAGAAUCAAUUUGCACAGUACCUGAAGGAUUCAUUCUCACUUGAUAACAUAGUUAAAUCACUGGACAAAAAUAAUGAUGGAAGCAUCAGCUUUGAUGAGUUUGUGAUGCUUAUAAAAAAGAUAACUGGUACAGGACAGUAAGGCAUCUGCAAGAAUGAACACCACUGCUUUGAGGGAGAAGAACCUGGCGCAUGUGUACAUUAUAGGUACACCUAAACCCACAGAUUUGUUAAGAUUUUAAAACAUACAGAAUAAAGAUCUGAUGUAUAACAAAUUAUGCCUUGUAUUGUGUUUCCUGCACACUCGCUAGCCACCCUUUCCAGCUAAGCUGCCU